Molecule: non-coding RNA, 377 nt
Organism: Delphinapterus leucas (beluga whale)
Lineage: Eukaryota; Metazoa; Chordata; Mammalia; Artiodactyla; Monodontidae
Source: RefSeq, a predicted model, not a curated record
AACUGGAAACAACCCAGAUGUUCUUCAACUGGUGAAUGGUUAAACAGUGGUACAUUCACACCUUGGAAUGCUACUUAGUGAUAAAAAGAACAAAUUGCUGAUACACAACAACCUGAAUGAAUCUCCAGAGAAUUAUGCAGAGUGGAAAAAGCUGAUCCCAAAAGCCUACAUGCUGGAUGAGUCCACUUACCACCCAACAAUUAUUUGACUAUCUGUUAUGUGUAAAACACAAUGGAGCCUGACUUCAAAAGACUCACAAUCCAGUAGUAGCUGUUACAGGGGCAGCUCCCACCCCAGACAGCCAGAGUGGCACCGCCAAGCUCCUUCCCUGGGAACUACACUCAACCUCUCAGCAUCAAGCCGCCAGAGCUCUGAAC